This 774-nucleotide ribosomal RNA is filed under the name uncultured Neocallimastigales. RNAcentral's name for it is "partial large subunit ribosomal RNA". It matches the Rfam family "Eukaryotic large subunit ribosomal RNA", at positions 20 to 616 of the family's 3401-position model. The record is from RNAcentral. Lineage: Eukaryota; Fungi; Neocallimastigomycota; Neocallimastigomycetes; Neocallimastigales.
UACUAGAGUAGCACUCGCAUAUCAAUAAGCGGAGGAAAAGAAACUAACAAGGAUUCCCCUAGUAACGGCGAGUGAAGCGGGAAGAGCUCAAAUUUGAAAUCUUAAAGGGUUUCCCUUUACGAAUUGUAGUUUAAAGAAGUGUUUUCUGUUGAGGUUUUGGUAAAAGUUCUUUGGAAUAGGACAUCAUAGAGGGUGAGAAUCCCGUAUUUGACCUUUACUUUCAACUUUGUGAUACACUUUCAAAGAGUCGGAUUGUUUGGGAAUGCAGUCCAAAAUGGGUGGUAAAUUUCAUCUAACGCUAAAUAUUGGCGAGAGACCGAUAGCGAACAAGUACCGUGAGGGAAAGAUGAAAAGAACUUUGAAAAGAGAGUUAAACAGUACGUGAAAUUGUCAAAAGGGAAGCGUUUGACACCAGUGUUGUUUUUCUGAAAAUCAAUUAAAGAACUGUUUAUGCUAAGCUGUUUAGACUUUAUCAGCUAUCUGUUUAGUUUUGAGCUUUUCUUUAAUGCACUUUUCAGUUAACAAGUCAACAUCAAUUUCUUUUGCUGUAAAAAAGCUUGAGGAAGGUGGCUUGAGAUUCGUCUUAAGUGUUUAUAGCCUCUUGCCUAUGCAGUCGGAGAGAUUGAGGUCUGCAGCGUAGAUCCUUCGGGGCUAAAUGCAUUUGUGCUAAGUUAUAGCAUUUUAUAGACAACUUGUUGACUAUGAUUUGUCUUGUAGCUUACUCGCUUAUGUUAUUUUACCUACGCUUAGGAUGUUGAGCGCAUGUCUCUCUCU